RNAcentral lists this ribosomal RNA (882 nucleotides) under Arthrobacter sp. RNAcentral describes it as "bacterial SSU rRNA". It matches the Rfam family "Bacterial small subunit ribosomal RNA", at positions 564 to 1445 of the family's 1533-position model. Lineage: Bacteria; Bacillati; Actinomycetota; Actinomycetes; Micrococcales; Micrococcaceae. The record is from RNAcentral.
AGAGCUCGUAGGCGGUUUGUCGCGUCUGCCGUGAAAGUCCGGGGCUCAACUCCGGAUCUGCGGUGGGUACGGGCAGACUAGAGUGAUGUAGGGGAGACUGGAAUUCCUGGUGUAGCGGUGAAAUGCGCAGAUAUCAGGAGGAACACCGAUGGCGAAGGCAGGUCUCUGGGCAUUAACUGACGCUGAGGAGCGAAAGCAUGGGGAGCGAACAGGAUUAGAUACCCUGGUAGUCCAUGCCGUAAACGUUGGGCACUAGGUGUGGGGGACAUUCCACGUUUUCCGCGCCGUAGCUAACGCAUUAAGUGCCCCGCCUGGGGAGUACGGCCGCAAGGCUAAAACUCAAAGGAAUUGACGGGGGCCCGCACAAGCGGCGGAGCAUGCGGAUUAAUUCGAUGCAACGCGAAGAACCUUACCAAGGCUUGACAUGGACUGGAAAUACCUGGAAACAGGUGCCCCGCUUGCGGUCGGUUCACAGGUGGUGCAUGGUUGUCGUCAGCUCGUGUCGUGAGAUGUUGGGUUAAGUCCCGCAACGAGCGCAACCCUCGUUCUAUGUUGCCAGCGCGUGAUGGCGGGACUCAUAGGAGACUGCCGGGGUCAACUCGGAGGAAGGUGGGGACGACGUCAAAUCAUCAUGCCCCUUAUGUCUUGGGCUUCACGCAUGCUACAAUGGCCGGUACAAAGGGUUGCGAUACUGUGAGGUGGAGCUAAUCCCAAAAAGCCGGUCUCAAGUCCGAUUGGGGUCUGCAACUCGACCCCAUGAAGUCGGAGUCGCUACCAAUCGCAGAUCAACAACGCUGCGGCGAAUACGUUCCCGGGCCUUGUACACACCGCCCGUCAAGUCACGAAAGUGCUAACACCCGAAGCCGAGGCCUAACCCCCUUG